CAGCAGCCGCGGUAAUACGUAGGGCGCAAGCGUUGUCCGGAAUUAUUGGGCGUAAAGAGCUCGUAGGCGGUCUGUCGCGUCUGCUGUGAAAUCCCGAGGCUCAACCUCGGGCUUGCAGUGGGUACGGGCAGACUGGAGUGCGGUAGGGGAGAAUGGAAUUCCUGGUGUAGCGGUGGAAUGCGCAGAUAUCAGGAGGAACACCGAUGGCGAAGGCAGUUCUCUGGGCCGUAACUGACGCUGAGGAGCGAAAGCGUGGGGAGCGAACAGGAUUAGAUACCCUAGUAGUCCACGCCGUAAACGUUGGGCGCUAGUUGUGGGGACCAUUCCACGGUCUCCGUGACGUAGCUAACGCAUUAAGCGCCCCGCCUGGGGAGUACGGCCGCAAGGCUAAAACUCAAAGGAAUUGACGGGGGCCCGCACAAGCGGCGGAGCAUGCGGAUUAAUUCGAUGCAACGCGAAGAACCUUACCAAGGCUUGACAUAUAGAGGAAAAGGCUGGAAACAGUCUCCCCGCAAGGUCUCUAUACAGGUGGUGCAUGGUUGUCGUCAGCUCGUGUCGUGAGAUGUUGGGUUAAGUCCCGCAACGAGCGCAACCCUCGUCCUAUGUUGCCAGCGGUUCGGCCGGGAACUCAUGGGAUACUGCCGGGGUCAACUCGGAGGAAGGUGGGGAUGACGUCAAAUCAUCAUGCCCCUUAUGUCUUGGGCUUCACGCAUGCUACAAUGGCCGGUACAAAGGGCUGCAAUACCGCAAGGUGGAGCGAAUCCCAAAAAGCCGGUCUCAGUUCGGAUUGAGGUCUGCAACUCGACCUCAUGAAGUCGGAGUCGCUAGUAAUCGCAGAUCAGCAACGCUGCGGUGAAUACGUUCCCCGGGCCUUGUACACACCGCCCGUCAAGUCAUGAAAGUCGGCAACACCCGAAGCCGGUGGCCCAACCUUUUGGAGGGAGCCGUCGAAGGUGGGGCUGGUAAUAAGACUAAGUCGUACAAGGUAGCCGU
RNAcentral lists this ribosomal RNA (993 nucleotides) under uncultured bacterium. Its description in RNAcentral is "bacterial SSU rRNA". It matches the Rfam family "Bacterial small subunit ribosomal RNA", at positions 509 to 1503 of the family's 1533-position model. The record is from RNAcentral.